GUGGGAAUAGCUCAGUGGUAGUAGCGGCAGAUUGCAAAUCUGUAGGUCGUGAGUUCAAUCCUCACUUCUCACU
Molecule: transfer RNA, 73 nt
Filed under: Kwoniella bestiolae CBS 10118
Lineage: Eukaryota; Fungi; Basidiomycota; Tremellomycetes; Tremellales; Cryptococcaceae
Description: tRNA-Cys (GCA) (tRNA-Cys-GCA-1-1)
Rfam family: tRNA
About the family: Transfer RNA (tRNA) molecules are approximately 80 nucleotides in length. Their secondary structure includes four short double-helical elements and three loops (D, anti-codon, and T loops).
Source: RNAcentral